RNAcentral lists this ribosomal RNA (1009 nucleotides) under Streptococcus thermophilus. Its description in RNAcentral is "bacterial SSU rRNA". It matches the Rfam family "Bacterial small subunit ribosomal RNA", at positions 64 to 1055 of the family's 1533-position model. Lineage: Bacteria; Bacillati; Bacillota; Bacilli; Lactobacillales; Streptococcaceae. RNAcentral also lists the same sequence under 1 other name. The record is from RNAcentral.
GAACGCUGAAGAGAGGAGCUUGCUCUUCUUGGAUGAGUUGCGAACGGGUGAGUAACGCGUAGGUAACCUGCCUUGUAGCGGGGGAUAACUAUUGGAAACGAUAGCUAAUACCGCAUAACAAUGGAUGACACAUGUCAUUUAUUUGAAAGGGGCAAUUGCUCCACUACAAGAUGGACCUGCGUUGUAUUAGCUAGUAGGUGAGGUAACGGCUCACCUAGGCGACGAUACAUAGCCGACCUGAGAGGGUGAUCGGCCACACUGGGACUGAGACACGGCCCAGACUCCUACGGGAGGCAGCAGUAGGGAAUCUUCGGCAAUGGGGGCAACCCUGACCGAGCAACGCCGCGUGAGUGAAGAAGGUUUUCGGAUCGUAAAGCUCUGUUGUAAGUCAAGAACGAGUGUGAGAGUGGAAAGUUCACACUGUGACGGUAGCUUACCAGAAAGGGACGGCUAACUACGUGCCAGCAGCCGCGGUAAUACGUAGGUCCCGAGCGUUGUCCGGAUUUAUUGGGCGUAAAGCGAGCGCAGGCGGUUUGAUAAGUCUGAAGUUAAAGGCUGUGGCUCAACCAUAGUUCGCUUUGGAAACUGUCAAACUUGAGUGCAGAAGGGGAGAGUGGAAUUCCAUGUGUAGCGGUGAAAUGCGUAGAUAUAUGGAGGAACACCGGUGGCGAAAGCGGCUCUCUGGUCUGUAACUGACGCUGAGGCUCGAAAGCGUGGGGAGCGAACAGGAUUAGAUACCCUGGUAGUCCACGCCGUAAACGAUGAGUGCUAGGUGUUGGAUCCUUUCCGGGAUUCAGUGCCGCAGCUAACGCAUUAAGCACUCCGCCUGGGGAGUACGACCGCAAGGUUGAAACUCAAAGGAAUUGACGGGGGCCCGCACAAGCGGUGGAGCAUGUGGUUUAAUUCGAAGCAACGCGAAGAACCUUACCAGGUCUUGACAUCCCGAUGCUAUUUCUAGAGAUAGAAAGUUACUUCGGUACAUCGGUGACAGGUGGNGCAUGGNNGUCGU